This 60-nucleotide transfer RNA is filed under the name Rhodopseudomonas palustris. It matches the Rfam family "tRNA", at positions 7 to 64 of the family's 71-position model. Rfam says of the family: Transfer RNA (tRNA) molecules are approximately 80 nucleotides in length. Lineage: Bacteria; Pseudomonadati; Pseudomonadota; Alphaproteobacteria; Hyphomicrobiales; Nitrobacteraceae. RNAcentral also lists the same sequence under 18 other names. The record is from RNAcentral.
GGUAGCUCAGUGGUAGAGCAACCGGCUGUUAACCGGUUGGUCGCUGGUUCGAAUCCGGCC